UGCUCCAGACACUCAACUAGUCUAAAGAAGGCCAGUUUUAUUGCUUCUUUAAUCAGAACGACAGUUUUCAGCUGUGCUAACAUAAUUGCAAAAGGGUUUUCUAAUGAUCAAUUAGCCUUUAAAAUAAGCUUGGAUUAGCUAACACAACAUGCCAUUGGAACACAGGAGUGAUGGUUGCUGAUAAUGGGCCUCUGUAAGCCUAUCUAGAUAUUCCAUAAAAAAUCAGCCGUUUCCAGCUACAAUAGUCAUUAACAAGGUCUACACUGUAUUUCGGAUCAAUUUGAUGUUAUUUUAAUGGACAAAUGUGCUUUUCUUUCAGAAACAAGAACAUUUCUAAGUGACCCCAAACUUUUGAAUUGUAUGUAUGGUACCAGUCAACAGUUUGGACAGAGGUACUCAUUCAAGGGUUUUUCUUUAUUUUUACUAUUUUCUACAUUGUAGAAUAAUAGUGAAGACAUCAAUACUAUUAAAUAUUGCAUAUGGAAUCAUGUAGUAACCAAAAAGGGUUCAAAUCCAAAUAUAUUUGAGAUUCUCCAAAUUAGCCACCCGUUGCCUUGAUGGCAUCUUUGCAUACUCUUGGCAUUCUUUCAACCAGCUUCACCUUGAAGUCACCUUGAAAGCGUUUCAAUUAACAGGUGUUCCUUGUUAAAAGGACAUUAGUGGAAUGCAUUUCCUUAAUGUGUUUGAGCCAAUCAGUUGUGUUGUGAAAAGGUAGGGGUGGUAUACAGAAGGUAGCCCUAUUUCUAAAAUAUCAAGUCCAUAUGGCAAGAACAGCUCAAAUAAGCAAAGAGAAACAACAGUCCAUUACUUUAAGACAUGAAGGUCCGUCAAUAUGAAACAUUUCAAGAACUUGGAAAGUUUCAAGUGAAGUUGCAAAAAUCAUCAAGCGCUAUGAUGAAACUGGCUCUUAUGAGGACUGCCACACAAAAGGAAGACCCAGAGUUAUCUCUGCUGCAGAGAAUAAGUUCAAUAAAUCAAAACAAAUGUAUUUAUAUAGCCCUUCUUACAUCAGCUGAUAUCUCAAAGUGCUGUACAGAAACCCAGCCUAAAACCCCAAACAGCAAGCAAUGCAGGUGUAGAAGCUCGGUGGCUAGGAAAAACUCCCUAGAAAGGCCGAAACCUAGAGAGGAAUCAGGCUAUGAGGGGUGGCCAGUCCUCUUCUGGCUGUGCCGAGUGGAGUGUUCAAAUGUUAAUAAAUGACCAGCAUGGUCAAAUAAUAAUAAUCACAGUAGUUGUCGAGGGUGCAACAGAUCAGUACCUCAGGAGUAAAUGUCAGUUUGCUUUUCAUAGCCGAUCAUUCAGAGUAUCUCUACCGCUCCUGCUGUCUCUAGAGAGUUGAAAACAGCAGGUCUGGGACAGGUAGCACGUCCGGUGAACAGGUCAGGGUUCCAUAGCCGUAGGCAGAACAGUUGAAACUGGAGCAGAAGCACGGCCAGGUGGACUCGAGACAACAAGGAGUCAUCAUGCCAGGUAGUCCUGAGGCAUGGUCAUAGGGCUCAGGUCCCCUGAGAGAAUUAGAGAGAGCAUACUUAAAUUCACACAGAACACUGGAGAAAUACUCCAGAUAUAACAGACUGACCCUAGUCCUCCAACACAUAAAGUGCUGCAGCAUAAAUACUGGAGGCUGAGACAGGAGGGGUCAGGAGACACUGUGGCCCCAUCUGAUGAUACCCCCGUACAGGGCCAAACAGGCAUGAUAUAACCCCACCCACUUUGCCAAAGCACAGCCCCCACACCAAAAGAGGGAUAUCUUCAACCACCAACUUACCAUCCUGAGACAAGGCCGAGUAUAGCCCACAAAGAUCUCCGCCACGGCACAACCCAAAGGGGGGCGGGGCGCCAACCCAGAGAGGAAGACCACGUCAGUGACUCAACCCACUCAAGUGACGCACCCCUCCUAGGGACGGCAUGGAAGAGCACCAGUAAGCCAGUGACUCUGCCUCUGUAAUAGGGUUAGAGGCAGAGAAUCCCAGUGGAGAGAGGGGAACCGGCUAGGCAGAGACGGCAAGGGCGGUUCGUUGCUCCAGUGCCUUUCCGUUCACCUUCACACUCCUGGGCCAGACUACACUCAAUCAUAGGACCUACCGAAGAGAUGAGUCUUCAAUAAAGACUUAAAGGUUGAGACCGAGUCUGCAUCUCUCACAUGGGUAGGCAGACAAUCCCAUAAAAAUGGAGCUCUAUAGGAGAAAGCCCUGCCUCCAGCUGUUUGCUUAGAAAUUCUAGGGACAAUUAGGAGGCCUGCGUCUUGUGACCAUAGCAUACGUGUAGGUAUGUACAGCAGGACCAAAUCGUAAAGAUAGGUAUGUAAUGCUUUGUAGGUUAGCAGUAAAACCUUGAAUUCAGCCCUUGCCUUAACAGGAAGCCAGUGUAGGGAGGCUAGCACUGGAGUAAUAUGAUCAAAUUUUGGGGUUCUAGUCUGGAUUCUAGCAGCCGUAUUCAGCACUAUUUGAAGUUUAUUUAGUGCUUUAUCCGGGUAGCCGGAAAGUAGAGCAUUGCAGUAGUCUAACCUAGAAGUGACAAAAGCAUUGAUUAAUUUUUCUGCAUCAAUUUUGGACAGAACAUUUCUGAUCUUUGCAAUGUUACAUAGAUGAAAAAAAGCUGUCCUUGAAACAAUCUUGAUAUGUUCGUCAAAAGAGAGAUCAGGGUCCAGAGUAAAGCCGAGGUCCUUCACAGUUUUAUUUGAGACGACUGUACAACAAUCAAGAUUAAUUAUCAGAUUCAACAGAAGAUCUCUUUGUUUCUUGAGACCUAGGACAAGCAAACUUGAGUUACCAGCCUCAGAAAUUGAAGAAAUUGAUGCUUCACAGAAUUCAAGUAAAAGACAUCUUAACAUCAACUGUUCAGAGGAGACUGUGAAUCAGGCCUUCAUGGUCAAAUUGCUGCAAAGAAACCACUACUAAAGGACACCAAUAAGAAGAGACUUGCUUGGGCUGAAGAAGGUUAAACCAAAGCCUUAUACCUUUUAAAGGCUUAAUAAAUUAUGUUAUGAUGAACUGUAAGGUCUCGUCUUCAGGAGACUGUGUGUGUGUUAACCUGUUUUUGAGUGUUGUGACCUUCAGACACUAUCAGAAGGCGUCUACGUUCAGAUUCCUCCUGUCUGGAUCCCACCGUGGUUAUCUGGUUUUCGAGAACACAAGGCUGCCACCGACCUGAUGAAACCAGCCACCUGUCAGAAGAUGCUUACACUCGUUCACAUCGUUAUGGCUCUAUACUUGUGAUGAAAGGUCCAAGUUUUGGUCAAACCCACUUCUGAGUUUUUACUUGCUGGUAAGAUGGUUCCUGCUGUCGGGGAGGUUAGAUUUAUUAAAAUGUUGUUGUUAGAGAAAGUUACGUAAGGGGGAUUGGGGAGGCUAUAUGAGUUACAGGAUGUCUUAGACUUUUUUGCAUUACUUGGGAGAGAACUAUCAUAUACUGUAUUCUAUCAACUUCUGCCUACAAUUGUAUUACUAAAAGGAGUAUAUUACUCCUUAAACAAGAGUCUGUGUUUCCUUUCCAUUACUAAUGUAUGUUUGAUAAUUAUAUAGACCUGAUCAUUUGUUGAAGAAAUUGACCAACAUUUUGACGAACUAGCCAGGAGUCAGUGACCACAUCGCUGGACUGACCAUUGAUCCACGUCAAGCGCUACAAAAUUUGAAGGAAGGCCCAGGAAGUUCCAGAACAGGGCGACCCAGACAGCCUACCUGUUGAUGUUGGAGAAUGGAUCAAGCUGAAGUUCCACAAGAGAAAAUGGAACCACCCCAGAUGGAUGGGCCCAUACCAGGUCAUCGCAGCAACACCAAGAGCAGUGAAGGUCCAGGAGCGCCAGGGAUGGCACCACCUAUCACACUGCCAGAAGACGUCCCAACCAUCCUAACAGAUAAGAGUGCACAUCCAGACCCAGAUGUUAUUACACAUGACCACUAUGGUCACAUUGUUAAAAAUAAAACUUGGGGUAAACCUUUAAGGUACAUGUUUUUGGUGCUUCUUAUUCUGUACCAGCAGUCUCUGCUCAAAGGAAUAGAGAUCCAGGAGAACCAAUUGAAAACCAGUAAUCAAUGGGUAAACACGGUCCAAAAUCUGAGUAGACGAGCCACGCCUAGUGGUUUGUAGUUGUUUUGAAAACCCCUCAGAGUCAGAGUGAGUUGUUCGGAUCAGUUGUCAUAGGUGAUUGGAUUAACAACAUCACCUACUCCAUGCAGGCCCAUAUGAAUUUGACUAUUGCUGGUUUUGCCCUCAUUUCCACUGAUGUUCAGAAUCUUAAAGCUGUUACAGCCAGGCAUAGCUUGGCAUUAGACUAUAUCCUAGCUAAGGAGGGGGGAUAUUGCAGGGCCCUAAAUUCUAUUUCUGCCACGGAAUGUGUUAUGCUUCUCCCUGACUCCUCUGAUAAUAUGACAAGAGAUUUUGAAAGAAUUAACAGUUGGCUGACACCUACACCCCCACAGGAGAAGACUCCUGGUUCCCGUUUGGGUGGUUGAAAGAUAAACUAGGAAAUGUUGGUUUUAAGUUGUUUUCCAUUUUAGUCACAUUAUUGGCCCCAGUGCUUGUUCUGCUGAUUUGCAUUUGUGCAUUCUGUGCAGCUGGCAAAUGUGUACUUCAUAAGGCUAUGCCAGGCAUGUUUAUGCUUCAAGUUCCUCAUCCCCCAGAACCUUAUUGUUUAUCCUUAAUCUCCUGAGGAUUGCUUGCAAUCUAAUACACCUUUUAUGGAUGAUUCUUAUAAUUACUAUGUUGAGUUGGUUUACUUUUUUUGAGGUCUGGUGGCCUCAAAGGGGGAAUGAAGAAGGUUAAACCAAGGCCGUAUACCUUUUAAAGGGUUAAUAAAUGAUGUUAUGAUAAACUGUAAGGUCUCCUCUUCAGGAGACCUCUGUGUGUGUUAACCUGUUUUGAGUGUUGUGACCUUCAGACACUAUCAGAAGGCGUCUACAUUCAGACUCCUCCUGUCUGGAUCCCACCGUGGUUAUCUGGUUUUCUGAGAACACAAGGCUGCCACAGACCUGAUGAAACCAGCCACCUGUCAGAAGAUGCUUACACUCGUUCACAUUGUUAUGGCUCUAUACUUGUGAUGAAAGGUCAAGUUUCGGCCAAAUUCAUCUUGCUGUCAGUGGGAGGUUAGAUUUAUUAAAAUAUUGUUGCUAGGGAAAGCUACGUAUGGGGGAUUGGGGAGGCUAUAUGAGUUAUAGGAUGUCUUAGACAUUUUUCAGAACUUAGGGAGAACUAUCAUAUACUGUUAUACAAUACUCUGUAUCAACUUCUGCCUAAAAUUGUAUUACUAAAAGGAGUAUUUUAAUA
RNA transcript from Salvelinus fontinalis (brook trout), 5265 nucleotides. It is a transcript of the gene named protein phosphatase 1 regulatory subunit 3B-like, with no coding region annotated. The transcript has 2 exons. Lineage: Eukaryota; Metazoa; Chordata; Actinopteri; Salmoniformes; Salmonidae. The record is from RefSeq and is a predicted model, not a curated record.